RNAcentral lists this microRNA precursor (61 nucleotides) under Blattella germanica (German cockroach). RNAcentral's name for it is "Bge-Mir-315_pre stem-loop". Lineage: Eukaryota; Metazoa; Arthropoda; Insecta; Blattodea; Blattellidae. The record is from RNAcentral.
UUUUGAUUGUUGCUCAGAAAGCCGUGACGUUGAAGCAGGCUUUCGAGCAAUAAUCACAAUC